AACGCACAUUGCGCCUUUUGGUAUUCCAGAAGGCAUGCCUGUUUGAGCGUCAUUUCUCUCUCACAUUCAGUGGUUUUGUCGUUAUUUCUCUCUCUUCUGAAGGAGAAUGCGGUGAAAAGAAAUGGCAGCGCUUAGAAGUCGCCAGACGUGUUUUAGGUUGUACCAACUACACUAGUAAGUGACUUCACCGAGUCGGCUUGAUAACUCUUUCAAUGUUGACCUCAAAUCAGGUAAGAAUACCCGCUGAACUUAA
RNAcentral lists this unclassified non-coding RNA (253 nucleotides) under uncultured fungus. Its description in RNAcentral is "partial contains 5.8S ribosomal RNA, internal transcribed spacer 2, and large subunit ribosomal RNA". The stretch from base 1 to 52 matches the Rfam family "5.8S ribosomal RNA", at positions 103 to 154 of the family's 154-position model. The record is from RNAcentral. Lineage: Eukaryota; Fungi.